GACGAACGCUGGCGGCGUGCCUAAUACAUGCAAGUUGAGCGAUGAAGAUUGGUGCUUGCACCAAUUUGAAGAGCAGCGAACGGGUGAGUAACGCGUGGGGAAUCUGCCUUUGAGCGGGGGACAACAUUUGGAAACGAAUGCUAAUACCGCAUAACAACUUUAAACAUAAGUUUUAAGUUUGAAAGAUGCAAUUGCAUCACUCAAAGAUGAUCCCGCGUUGUAUUAGCUAGUUGGUGAGGUAAAGGCUCACCAAGGCGAUGAUACAUAGCCGACCUGAGAGGGUGAUCGGCCACAUUGGGACUGAGACACGGCCCAAACUCCUACGGGAGGCAGCAGUAGGGAAUCUUCGGCAAUGGACGAAAGUCUGACCGAGCAACGCCGCGUGAGUGAAGAAGGUUUUCGGAUCGUAAAACUCUGUUGGUAGAGAAGAACGUUGGUGAGAGUGGAAAGCUCAUCAAGUGACGGUAACUACCCAGAAAGGGACAGCUAACUACGU
RNAcentral lists this ribosomal RNA (496 nucleotides) under uncultured bacterium. RNAcentral describes it as "partial 16S ribosomal RNA". It matches the Rfam family "Bacterial small subunit ribosomal RNA", at positions 28 to 506 of the family's 1533-position model. The record is from RNAcentral.